ACUGGCAGGAGAUAAUCUUGGACUACUUGGUGAGUAGGCCAGCGACGGACUGUAUUUGGCAGACUGAGGAUUGUAGCUUGGGGAUGUAGGACUAUAGGUUGGUGAAGUUGGGCUAUAACUUGGUGAAGUUGGACUAUAACCAGGAGAAGUGGGGCUAUAGGCUGGUGAAGUGGGGCUGUACGAUGGAGAAGUAGGGCUGUAUGACGGUGAGGUAGGGCUGUACGAAGGUGAUGUUGGGCUGUAGGAAGGAGAGGUUGGGCUGUACGAUGGUGAGGUGGGGCUGUAUGCAGGUGAGGUGGGGCUAUAUGCAGGUGAGGUGGGGCUAUAUGCCGGUGAGGUGGGGCUAUAGCUUGGUGAAGUUGGACUGUAACUGGGAGAAGUGGGGCUGUAACUUGGAGAGGUCGGGCUGUAGCUUGGGGAUGUUGGGCUGUAACUUGGGGAGGUUGGGCUAUAGCUUGGUGAAGUAGGUGAGUACGAUGGACUGGUAGGAGAAUAGGCAGGACUGGUUGGACUAUAACCAG
RNAcentral lists this long non-coding RNA (521 nucleotides) under Citrus maxima (pomelo). Its description in RNAcentral is "long non-coding RNA (CMAX_LNC000008)". The record is from RNAcentral. Lineage: Eukaryota; Viridiplantae; Streptophyta; Magnoliopsida; Sapindales; Rutaceae.